GAGGAAUAUUGCACAAUGGGCGCAAGCCUGAUGCAGCAACGCCGCGUGAGGGACGAAGGCCUUCGGGUCGUAAACCUCUUUUCUGGGGGACGAGUAAGGACGGUACCCCAGGAAUAAGUCUCGGCUAACUACGUGCCAGCAGCCGCGGUAAAACGUAGGAGGCGAGCGUUAUCCGGAUUUACUGGGCGUAAAGCGUACGCAGGUGGCUUCGUGAGUCGGACAUGAAAGCUCCUGGCUUAACUGGGAGAGGUUGUUCGAUACUGCGGGGCUUGAGGUUGGGAGAGGGACGUGGAAUUCCCGGUGUAGUGGUGGAAUGCGUAGAUAUCGGGAGGAACACCAGUGGCGCAAGCGGCGUCCUGGCCCACACCUGACGCUGAGGUACGAAAGCGUGGGUAGCAAAC
Molecule: ribosomal RNA, 401 nt
Filed under: uncultured bacterium
Lineage: Bacteria
Description: bacterial SSU rRNA
Rfam family: Bacterial small subunit ribosomal RNA
Source: RNAcentral